Molecule: ribosomal RNA, 484 nt
Filed under: uncultured bacterium
Lineage: Bacteria
Description: partial 16S ribosomal RNA
Rfam family: Bacterial small subunit ribosomal RNA
Source: RNAcentral
AUUGAACGCUGGCGGCAGGCCUAACACAUGCAAGUCGAGCGGAUGAAGGGAGCUUGCUCCUGGAUUCAGCGGCGGACGGGUGAGUAAUGCCUAGGAAUCUGCCUUGUAGUGGGGGAUAACGUCCGGAAACGGGCGCUAAUACCGCAUACGUCCUGAGUGAGAAAGUGGGGGAUCUUCGGACCUCACGCUAUCAGCUGAGCCUAGGUCGGAUUAGCUAGUUGGUGGGGUAAAGGCCUACCAAGGCGACGAUCCGUAACUGGUCUGAGAGGAUGAUCAGUCACACUGGAACUGAGACACGGUCCAGACUCCUACGGGAGGCAGCAGUGGGGAAUAUUGGACAAUGGGCGAAAGCCUGAUCCAGCCAUGCCGCGUGUGUGAAGAAGGUCUUCGGAUUGUAAAGCACUUUAAGUUGGGAGGAAGGGCAGUAAGUUAAUACCUUGCUGUCUUGACGUUACCAACAGAAUAAGCACCGGCUAACUUCGUG